This 234-nucleotide ribosomal RNA is filed under the name uncultured bacterium. RNAcentral describes it as "partial 16S ribosomal RNA". It matches the Rfam family "Bacterial small subunit ribosomal RNA", at positions 99 to 334 of the family's 1533-position model. The record is from RNAcentral.
CGGACGGGUGAGUACGCGUGGGUAACCUGCCUUAUACAGGGGGAUAACAGUUGGAAACGGCUGCUAAUACCGCAUAAGCGCACGGCAUCGCAUGAUGCAGUGUGAAAAACUCCGGUGGUAUAAGAUGGACCCGCGUUGGAUUAGCUAGUUGGUGAGGUAACGGCCCACCAAGGCGACGAUCCAUAGCCGACCUGAGAGGGUGACCGGCCACAUUGGGACUGAGACACGGCCCAA